UCCAUUUCUUGAAGAUAAGUAUUGUUCAUAAGUAUAGCAAUGGUCGUACUAAUCAGGUGAGUUGCAGAAGGAUCUAAAUGUGGGUGUAGAUGGUGAACUAGUGAACUAGUGAAGUCAAAGUUUAUCAAGUGAUUGCCCUAAUAUUGAAUAUUGAAUGGCAGGGUCAACAAGAUUUCACGUUCAGAAAUCAGAGGAGGAAUGGAGGGCCAUUCUCUGUCUGUCUCUGUCUGUCUCCCUCAUGAAUUCACAGACAGUAGAGAGAGGGCAAGGAACAGAGGAAUAGCCAAAGUACCAGGGAGCAAAAACAGGAGUGUUCUUCAAGUUUUUGGCUCUUCAUCAACCAUAGCACCAAGAGAAAGAGAAUGAUGGCCAAGGAGGGAGCUGACUGAAGCUUAAGAGGGAGCUGCGUUCCACUCACCCAACUGUUCUUCGAGUUUCUUUGCUAGUUUAUUCAAUUUCUGUUAACACAACUACCACCACAAGCAAAGAGAGGUUUGGGCUCAAGAGAAAAACAGGGACAAGUCUUGUGUAUUUGAUCAACAAAGAGGCAAGGUUGGAGUUCCCUGACAAUUGUUUGUAACAAAAAAUCCAUCUACUAUCCCUUAUGAAAUCACUAAGGCUGGGAUGAAGUUACCAUUAGGUGGAUACCUUUUUGGAUUAUGAUAAUUUAUCAAAGGGAAUUGUCUUUACUACAGAUCGGCCAUAUCAACCAGGUGAGCAGGUAAACAUAGAUUGA
Arachis stenosperma is the source of this 736-nucleotide long non-coding RNA. RefSeq lists it as uncharacterized. Lineage: Eukaryota; Viridiplantae; Streptophyta; Magnoliopsida; Fabales; Fabaceae. The transcript is spliced from 5 exons. The record is from RefSeq and is a predicted model, not a curated record.